RNAcentral lists this ribosomal RNA (564 nucleotides) under Staphylococcus xylosus. RNAcentral describes it as "bacterial SSU rRNA". It matches the Rfam family "Bacterial small subunit ribosomal RNA", at positions 884 to 1445 of the family's 1533-position model. The record is from RNAcentral. Lineage: Bacteria; Bacillati; Bacillota; Bacilli; Caryophanales; Staphylococcaceae.
GACUGCCAGGUUGAAACUCAAAUGAAUNGACGGGGACCCGCACAAGCGGUGGAGCAUGUGGUUUAAUUCGAAGCCACGCGAAGAACCUUACCAAAUCUUGACAUCCUUUGAAAACUCUAGAGAUAGAGCUUUCCCCUUCGGGGGACAAAGUGACAGGUGGUGCAUGGUAAUCGUCAGCUCGUGUCGUGAGAUGUUGGGUUAAGUCCCGCAACGAGCGCAACCCUUAAGCUUAGUUGCCAUCAUUAAGUUGGGCACUCUAGGUUGACUGCCGGUGACAAACCGGAGGAAGGUGGGGAUGACGUCAAAUCAUCAUGCCCCUUAUGAUUUGGGCUACACACGUGCUACAAUGGACAAUACAAAGGGCAGCUAAACCGCGAGGUCAUGCAAAUCCCAUAAAGUUGUUCUCAGUUCGGAUUGUAGUCUGCAACUCGACUACAUGAAGCUGGAAUCGCUAGUAAUCGUAGAUCAGCAUGCUACGGUGAAUACGUUCCCGGGUCUUGUACACACCGCCCGUCACACCACGAGAGUUUGUAACACCCGAAGCCGGUGGAGUAACCCAUUUAU